Molecule: non-coding RNA, 300 nt
Organism: Vicia faba (fava bean)
Lineage: Eukaryota; Viridiplantae; Streptophyta; Magnoliopsida; Fabales; Fabaceae
Source: the annotation of a GenBank genome assembly
AUGUUGAUGAAGAUGCUCAAUAUCGCCGUGAAUCGUUGCUCGAAGAUGCUUGAUAUGAAGAAGAUGAAGACAAUUGAUGCGAUGAAGAUGAAGAGGAUGCAAUUAUUUCAGCUUGUUGUUGGAUGGAUCAUUGUUGCAGAUUGCGAAAUUUUGUUGCCAAGAGGGAUGAAGAAUUUGUUGUGGUUGUUUCAGAGAAGGAAGGUUGAUAACGGUGAUGGAAGGAGAAGAGAGAUUUUGAGAAAAAUGAAGGUCGACGAAGAUUGGAGAGUGAUGGAGUUUGAAGGUGGUGGAAGGAGGUGA